RNAcentral lists this long non-coding RNA (964 nucleotides) under Homo sapiens (human). RNAcentral's name for it is "HSALNT0295032". The record is from RNAcentral. Lineage: Eukaryota; Metazoa; Chordata; Mammalia; Primates; Hominidae.
AUGUGGCCAUGAAACAGAUGGUCAUAGAAUUGGUUCAGUGGUUGUGAGUGCAGCAACCCAAGAGUGUCUUAUCUGAAAUACCACCAGGAAUGCCUGGACACAGUAGACAAAGGUUGUUCAACUGGACGCCUUAGGAUACAUGCUUCCAAAAACAAAGUAGCUGAAAAGAAACUAGAAUAACAGGAUAUCAGAGCCAGAGGAGCAUUUGGAGAAGUACGGGAAGGAUGAAAUUACUUUUGAUGGAGAGAGCAUUUAGUGUCUCAGAGAGAAGACAGGACAUCAUUCAUCACUUUCAUGAUGGGGCCGGCAGAUACCACCAUGGUGACGUUUGUGGCAGAAGAGGUGGAGCCAGGGACUGGGGAGAAGAAACGCAAACACAUGAUGGGUUAAAAACUGGUGAAAUCGAAUAGGUUUAAUCAGGACUGAGGAAGAACAUGGCAAGAUAAGUUUAUGGUCAGGGUUGGUUGGUGAUCCUCAGUGUUGCUGCGCAGUAGAAGGUUUUGUGAGCCUGGAACUUGGGAGACUGUUCGGUAGCCCAGGUCUCCUAAGAGUGGGUGCAGUGGCUGUGACCCUGGGCUGCUCAGCAUUCAUGUGGAAAUGAAGGAAGGAGGACUGGAUCAAUCCCAUUUGAAAGCAUCCUUCUCUGCAGCCCACACAAUCCUCCAAUGACACUGACAGAGGUGUACCCUCCUAGUGUACUGGGACCAAAAUUCGGAAGUGUCUGCAAACUUGCUUUAACCGUAUGGGAAAUAACCUCUAUCACCUGGAAUUUCCUUGGGACUUUGGAAAAUACAAGAGAAGUAUGAGACUUGGGUCUUCCCUUGGCUGUGUUUAAUUCACUCUUCUAUGGAAUACCAAUGAUUCUCACUAAGACUUUUGCCUUUUUAUAACCACAAUGUAUGCUUUAUGGAGAAGAUUUUACUCUUUGCUCUACUUAGAAAGAAUAAAUAUGAGCAAUGCUUUA